GAUGAACGCUGGCGGCGUGCUUAACACAUGCAAGUCGAACGAUGAAGCCCAGCUUGCUGGGUGGAUUAGUGGCGAACGGGUGAGUAACACGUGAGUAACCUGCCCUUGACUCUGGGAUAAGCCUGGGAAACUGGGUCUAACACUGGAUAUGACUUCUCAUCGCAUGGUGGGGGGUGGAAAGAUUUAUUGGUCUUGGAUGGACUCGCGGCCUAUCAGCUUGUUGGUGAGGUAAUGGCUCACCAAGGCGACGACGGGUAGCCGGCCUGAGAGGGUGACCGGCCACACUGGGACUGAGACACGGCCCAGACUCCUACGGGAGGCAGCAGUGGGGAAUAUUGCACAAUGGGCGCAAGCCUGAUGCAGCGACGCCGCGUGAGGGAUGACGGCCUUCGGGUUGUAAACCUCUUUCAGUAGGGAAGAAGCGAGAGUGACGGUACCUGCAGAAGAAGCGCCGGCUAACCACGUG
RNAcentral lists this ribosomal RNA (466 nucleotides) under uncultured bacterium. RNAcentral describes it as "partial 16S ribosomal RNA". It matches the Rfam family "Bacterial small subunit ribosomal RNA", at positions 28 to 507 of the family's 1533-position model. The record is from RNAcentral.